CCUACGGGUGGCAGCAGUGGGGAAUAUUGCACAAUGGGGGAAACCCUGAUGCAGCGACGCCGCGUGAAGGAAGAAGUAUUUAGGUAUGGAAACCUCUUUUAGCAGGGAAGAAAAUGACGGUACCCGACUAAGAAGCCCCGGCUAACUAAGUGAAAGCAGCAGCGGUAAUACGGAGGGGGCAAGCGUUAUCCGGAUGUACUGGGUGUAAAGGGAGCGUAGGCGGUGCAGCAAGUCAGAAGUGAAAGCCCGGGGCUCAACGCCGGGACUGCUGUUGAAACUGGUGAACUAGAGUGCAGGAGAGGUAGGUGGAAUGCGUGGUGUAGCGGUGAAAUGCGUAGAUAUUAGGAGGAACCCC
Molecule: ribosomal RNA, 355 nt
Filed under: uncultured bacterium
Lineage: Bacteria
Description: partial 16S ribosomal RNA
Rfam family: Bacterial small subunit ribosomal RNA
Source: RNAcentral